AUGCGACCCCGUGGGGCUCGCCAGGUGCGGUGCUGCAAUGGAGCUCUUGCAGGUGGCUCCCGAUGCUCCGUUGCAGCGCUCGUCGGUGGGGUCGAAGCUGCAGUGCAGCAGCUCGGUGCUCCAAUGGAGUUCUCGCCGGCUGCUCCCGGUGCUCCGUUGCAGCCCUCGUCGGUGGGAUCGAAGCUGCAGUGCAGCACCGGUGUUCCAAUGGAGCUCUCGCCGGCCGCUCCCAGAGCUCCAAUGGAGCUCUCACCGGCGGCUCAUCGGAGCUGUGAUGCAGCGGCCAGCGACUCCCGGUGCUCCAAUGGAGCUCUCGUCGGCAGUUCUCGGAGCUGUGAUGCAGCGGACGGCGGCGGCUCCGGUGUUGCAAUGCAGUGCUUUGCCCCGGCAACAGCCAUGAUGAUUUUGCAGCGGCGACCUAGACGGGGAUCGAAUAGGGAUGGCUGA
This 447-nucleotide ribosomal RNA is filed under the name Triticum aestivum (bread wheat). RNAcentral describes it as "partial small subunit ribosomal RNA". Lineage: Eukaryota; Viridiplantae; Streptophyta; Magnoliopsida; Poales; Poaceae. The record is from RNAcentral.